Molecule: ribosomal RNA, 919 nt
Filed under: Gammaproteobacteria bacterium
Lineage: Bacteria; Pseudomonadati; Pseudomonadota; Gammaproteobacteria
Description: bacterial SSU rRNA
Rfam family: Bacterial small subunit ribosomal RNA
Source: RNAcentral
UAAUUGAAGAGUCUGAUCAUGGCUCAGAUUGAACGUUGGCGGCAGGUCUCAUACAUGCAAGUCGAACGAAGAUACGACUUCGGUCGUUGACAAGUGGCGGACGGGUGAGUAACGCGUAGGAAUCUACCUAGUAGUGGGGAACAACUUGGGGAAACCCGAGUUAAUACCGCAUACGACCUAAGGGUGAAAGCGGGGGAUUUUCGAACCUCGCGCUAUUAGAGGAGCCUGCGUUGGAUUAGCUUGUUGGUGGGGUAACGGCCUACCAAGGCGACGAUCCAUAGCUGGUCUGAGAGGAUGAUCAGCCACACUGGAACUGAGACACGGUCCAGACUUCUACGGAAGGCAGCAGUAAAGAAUAUUGCGCAAUGGGCGAAAGCCUGACGCAGCCAUGCCGCGUGUGUGAAGAAGGCCUUUGGGUUGUAAAGCACUUUCAGUAGUGAUGAAAAUCAUGAUGUUAAUACCAUCAUGCCCUGACAUUAGCUACAGAAGAAGCACCGGCUAACUCCGUGCCAGCAGCCGCGGUAAUACGGGGGGUGCGAACGUUAAUCGGAAUUACUGGGCGUAAAGCGCGCGUAGGCGGUCUGAUAAGUGGGAUGUGAAAGCCCUGGGCUUAACCUGGGAACUGCAUUUCAAACUGUCAGACUAGAGUGUAGUAGAGGAAGGUGGAAUUUCCUGUGGAGCGGUGGAAUGCGUAGAUAUAGGAAGGAACACCAGUGGCGAAGGCGACCUUCUGGACUAACACUGACGCUGAGGUGCGAAAGCGUGGGUAGCGAACAGCGAUUAGAUACCCUGGUAGUCCACGCCGUAAACGAUGAGAACUAGCCGUCGGGUCCUUCGGGACUAGGUGGCGCAGCUAACGCGAUAAGUUCUCCGCCUGGGGAGUACGGCCGCAAGGUUAAAACUCAAAUGAAUUGACGGG